CACGUAGGGGACGAGCGUUGUCCGGAUUCAUUGGGCGUAAAGCGCGCGUAGGCGGCUCGGAAAGUCGGGCGUGAAAUGCCGGGGCUCAACCCCGGGACUGCGUCCGAUACUUCCAAGCUGGAGUACGGUAGGGGCAGAGGGAAUUUCCGGUGGAGCGGUGAAAUGCGUAGAGAUCGGAAAGAACACCAACGACGAAAGCACUCUGCUGGGCCGACACUGACACUGAGAGACGAAAGCUAGGGGAGCGAAUGGG
RNAcentral lists this ribosomal RNA (253 nucleotides) under uncultured bacterium. Its description in RNAcentral is "partial 16S ribosomal RNA". It matches the Rfam family "Bacterial small subunit ribosomal RNA", at positions 524 to 776 of the family's 1533-position model. The record is from RNAcentral.